Molecule: ribosomal RNA, 440 nt
Filed under: uncultured bacterium
Lineage: Bacteria
Description: bacterial SSU rRNA
Rfam family: Bacterial small subunit ribosomal RNA
Source: RNAcentral
CCUACGGGGGGCAGCAGUAGGGAAUUUUGCGCAAUGGGGGAAACCCUGACGCAGCAACGCCGCGUGACCGAUGAAGCUUCUAGGAGUGUAAAGGUCUGUCGUAGGGGAAGAACAAUUCGAAAUUUAAUACAUUUCGUUUCUGACGGUACCUUACAAGAAAGCACCGGCUAACUUCGUGCCAGCAGCCGCGGUAAUACGAGGGGUGCAAGCGUUGUCCGGAAUCACUGGGCGUAAAGGGUCCGUAGGCGUCUUAAUAAGUCAUUUGUUAAAGACACCGGCUUAACCGGUGGAGUGCAAUUGAAACUAUUAAGAUAGAGUAUAGGAGAGGAAAGUGGAAUUCCUGGUGUAGCGGUGACAUGCGUAGAUAUCAGGAGGAACACCAAUGGCGAAGGCAGCUUUCUGGCCUAUUACUGACGCUGAGGGACGAAAGCGUGGGGAGC